CUGACCUGACUCCCAGCAGUGAGAGUGCGCCUCUCACUCCACCCCGGAUGUGCCACUUCUGCAGCUGCGCAUCCGGGCCCUCCAGGCUGGGGCUGCCGGUUCUGCUCUGACCUGGCCCAAGUGGAGCCUGUCAAGGAGAAGGGCAGCUGGACCGAUGCUUCCCUCCCUUGGGGUCGCUGGCUCCCUGGGGACUGUGGCUCAGGGAGCCUCAGAGGAAAAUCACAGGACCCAGGAGGGGAGGGCACCUCCGCACCACUCUCCCCAGGCUUGUCCCUGUUCUUGGAUGGAGCUGCAGAGCAAACGGACCGACCGUGUGAGCAGAGAGCUCUGGAAACCAGGCGAAGGCUCCUUGACUCGCACCGAGCACAGAGGAGGCGCCCAGCCAGCGCUCUUUGGAUCAAGGGUUCCUCCGUGAGCAGCAGGUGCCACGCUCGCCAGCAGACUGGGCAGCAGCAAACAUCCCCACGGCCCUGGAUCUCGCCCCCUAAACCUCUCUCGUGCCCCUUCCCUGCCACCCAGGGUCUCAGCUGCCAUGACCCUCAGAGGAGGCUGAGCCCCUGCUCAGUGGCUGGGGAGAAAGCUGGGUCCGGGGGCUGCAGGACAGGAGGAGGGGGCGGGCCUCUGAGCUGGCAGACAAAGGGCAUGUGUUCUCAUCCAGUGCACUUCCUGGGUUUCCAUGGCAGGAAGCUUGGCACCUGCCAAGGUGACACCGACACCCGGGCUGGUGCGGGAGAUACUUGGCCGGGACGCUCCU
RNAcentral lists this long non-coding RNA (754 nucleotides) under Equus asinus (donkey). RNAcentral's name for it is "lncRNA (ENSEASG00005025572.1)". Lineage: Eukaryota; Metazoa; Chordata; Mammalia; Perissodactyla; Equidae. The record is from RNAcentral.